RNAcentral lists this long non-coding RNA (14027 nucleotides) under Citrus maxima (pomelo). RNAcentral describes it as "long non-coding RNA (CMAX_LNC000468)". The stretch from base 2290 to 2362 matches the Rfam family "tRNA". Lineage: Eukaryota; Viridiplantae; Streptophyta; Magnoliopsida; Sapindales; Rutaceae. The record is from RNAcentral.
UCAAAUCUAUUUUCUUGCCGACGCCUAAAAAUAAUAGAGGUAGCACUUACCAUCUUUUUGAGGAGACAAGGAACUCUUACAGAAAAAAGCGCAUGCAUAUAUAUGUAUGUAUUUUGAUGAGACCAUUAUGAUAACUUUUGGUCUCCUGCAGAAUUUUUGGGAUUUACUUUCCUAAACACUUGUCCGGUGCCCAUCUUAUUGAUUUUUGGAACUUGCUUAACUAUUCUAGGGCUUAGUUUACUAAUUUAAAUUAUUUCAAUCUGUGCAACUAGGCUGAGAAACAGAUCGAAAUGUACACCGGGCAAGGGUUUUCUGGCUUACCAAUUUGCAUGGCAAAAACCCAGUAUUCAUUUUCACACAAUGCCGCCGAGAAGGGAGCCCCAACUGGGUUUAUCUUACCGAUAAGGGAUGUAAGAGCUAGCAUUGGGGCUGGAUUCAUUUAUCCUUUGGUUGGAACAAUGAGUACAAUGCCAGGUCUCCCAACAAGGCCGUGCUUUUACGAGAUUGAUGUCGACACUGCAACUGGAAAGGUUGUUGGGCUGUCUUAAGAUCCCACAAAGCACUCCCGUGUGGUUCUCAAAGAUGCUCUCUUUAGCAGUUCUCGAAAGCAACAACUGAGCUGAGGGCUCCCUCCCACCCCAUUGCUGUUAUUCUAACCUCGAUUUGUACACUUCGUGCACCUGUGCUAUAUGCUGUGUUAAUAAGAACCGAACACAAAAGAACCGGGAGAAUAAAUCUGGUUUCAUCUUUCUGCUUUGAUUUACCUAUGAUGCCCAUAUCCCAACUGAUUUGAUACCCAUCCGAAAUUGCCUUUUGUUAGGUUGUUUUUGAAUUUUUAUUCCAUGAUCAGUGUGCCGGUUUUGUGUUACCAUAUCACAUAAGUUUGAGGUACAACUUUUUUUAUUCUUCGUACAACCAAUACUUAGAAAUGUUACAUAUUUGAGAUAUCAAAGUUUAAAUGCUACCGGGCGGGCCAUGCACCGGCGGUUUGCCAUCCUUGACAAGGAUUGACUUGCAAAUGUAACAUGGAGAGUUGAGUUCAAAGUUCAAGCCCCCUCAUCCAUUUAAUUCGUUUUGUAUUAAUCUAAAAUGCCCACAAAAAAAAAAGGGGACGAGAAAGUUGGCUAUUCAUAUUUUAGGGUCUAGCUAACGUGCAACUGUUGCACGGUAUCCCCUAUUUUGUCUUCUUGUGUUUUUCCUGUUACAUUUAAUGCAGAGUAGAUUCAAACUCAACGGUGGAAUGCUAUAGUUUGGUAAUUAACGCUACACUCCCUGUCGUAUACUGAAAUUCUAAACAAAAUAAAUGUUUCAAAAUUUUGACACAUAAAUUCAUAUUGUAUUAAAUUUGUAAAUAAUUUAAACAAUUAAAAAAUGGGUAGGCUGUCUUGAGUUAAAAAAUUUGACAUAAAAAUAAAAAUAAAUAUCAAUAUCUAACUCUCUUUUUUUCUAAUUUUAGGAGUGAGAUAAGUAAUGAUUUCACAUUAAAAUUCAAUUAAUAAAUUAGCUUAAAAAAUAAAACUAGCAUGACAUUACUAAAAUAAAAUAUUAAAUAAAUAAUUAUAAAAACUUUAUGUUUUAUCUUCUUUCCUUACACUUUAGUCACCACUUUAAAAUAUAUGCAUAUUACACUUUAAAUAAAAAUAACUACAAUACAAUUUCAUUUCAAAGUGAUUAGUUAUUCACAAACAACAAAACUUAAACUUUAGAUUUAAACCAAUAUGUCAUCAAUGACUUAUAGCUAAUAGAUUUGAUUUGUUAUUUUAAUUUAUUCAAUUGCCAUGGCCUCACAAUUGUCAUCCAAAUAUUCAAAUCAAAUUGCUGCAUUUUGCCUUAGUUGUGAUGUGAAAAAUAAUUGAGAUAAUUGAUUAGUUAAUGAUAUUUUAAUUUGAAAGGAGUUACUGACUAAUGAUUGAUUAAUUAUCUAAGUGGGGAAAAAGGGAAUGGAAUAUCUGAAUAUAAAGAAGAGGAAAAGAGAAAAAAAAAUAAAGUUAUGAUAAAUUUAUAAAUAAACUAUGAAUAAAAAAGAAAGUAGGGAAUCAAAGAUAAAAGUAAAACUGCGGUACCGUACAACAGUUGCACCACAGUUUUAUCCCGUAUUUUAAGGCAAUAAAUUUAAAUGUUGGGAAUCUUUCCAAACCAAAUUCACAAUUGUUACAUUUAUUCUACAAAAUACCACCAAAUUUCAUUUUCAUGCUACACAUGCAUUUAAGGCCAAAUAUAGGGGUUUGAUGAGAAUUGCCGCUUCAUAAUUCUUCCGUUGGUUUGAUCUGAUCAAUUUGCCAUACAAACGGGGAUGUAGCUCAGAUGGUAGAGCGCUCGCUUAGCAUGCGAGAGGUACGGGGAUCGAUACCCCGCAUCUCCAAAUUUGUCUAAUAUUUUAAAGAGUUACGCUAUUGGCAUCCCUUCAUAAUCCAUCUCUUUUGAAACCCCUCUUGUUUUGAAUUUACAAAUUUAUCCUUUAUAUUUUAAAUUAUAUUAAAAAUAAAAUUUAUCUAAUUUAAUCUACCUACGUUUUCUUUGCCUUUUUAUCUAUAAUAAACUCAUUAAAAUCUACAAAAUUUGAAAAAAUAUUGAAUUGUCAUGGAAUAAGAAUUUGAUCUAAAUAUAAACUAAGUUUUUGUAGAAAAGAUAAUUUUGUAAAGUUUGUUUACUUGGACCAAAUUUUUCUUUCAUAUAUGCAUUAUUCGUCCUUAUAUGUACACUCAAGUUAUUAACUGCUAAGAAAAUAAAGAGAAAUGGAAACAAAAAUUAAAAAUUCAUGAAUGCUAUAAUAAAGAAGAAAUUGCAAGUGGUUUGAAAUGGGAGAGAGGAGAGAGAGAGAGCGCCUAACAUAAUUUUUUUUUCAAGGUAAAUUAUCAUUGUACCACAUUUCUUUUGUCUUAUGUUCAUCUAACCACCACAAAAUUUUAACAUAUUAUUUGCACCACAUUUCUUUUUAAAUUUAUAUCAAUUAGCUACUUUUGAACUAAUACCGUUAAAUAACUUAAAUAAAAUGACAAUUUUACCCCUAAAUUUAAUAAAGAAAUAAAUCCCAAAAUUAGAAUUUUUAUUUUUUAACAAAAAUAUUUAAAUAAAAAAUUAUAAUUAUAAAAAAAUUACAAAAUUUUGGGAUUUAAUAGAAAUCCCCUAAAUUAUUAAAAUUUUAGGAUUUAUUUUUUAAUAAAUAAAUUCAGUUAUUUCAAUAAAAUUUUACAAAAUUAUAAUUUUUUAAUAAAUAAAUUCAGUUUAUUUUUUAUUAAAAUUGUGUAAAAUUAUAAAUUUUUAAUAAAAAUAAUUAUUAAAUUUUUUAAAAUCUAAAUUUUAUAAAAAUAACUGAGCACCUCUAUUUUGAAUUUAUUUUUUGUUAAAUUGAGGAGUAUUUUUAUAAUUAUAAUUUUUUAUUUUUCAAAACUUUUAUAAGAUAAAAUAGUCUUUUAAUUUAUUUAGAGAUAAAAUUGUCAUUUUGUUUACAUUAUUUAACGAUGUUAGUGCAAAAGUGACUAAUUGAUACAAAUUUAAAAAGAAAGGCAGUGAAAAGAAUAUGUUAGAAUUUUGUGGUGGUCAAAUGAAUAUAAGACAAAAGAAAGGUGAUGCAAUGAUAACUUCUCUUUUUUCAAACUACUAAUAUGAGGUUUAUUAAGAAAGUACAACAAAUGAAGGCUGUUUUAGAAAUUAAAAAAAAUAUACAGAAAUGAGGUUUGAAAAGAAUGUUAAAGGUGCGCCAAUAAUCCAACUUUAUUUUAAAACAUUUAGGGUGCCUUUAGUACCAUUUUCAAUUUGUUGUUUUUCGUUUUAUGAAAAGGAAAAUGCAGAAAACUUGUUUGGUGAGCUCAUUUUGGUAGAAAACUAUACAGUGAUUAAAAACAAAAAAAUUUCAUUUUCCAAUGUUUACAAAGAAAACAAGAGAACGCUAUUAUAGCGUUCUCUAUUUUAUUUCACUUUUACUCUCUGCCAACUGCCAAGGCCCCAUUAUCUUAACUUUUAUAACAUAUUACGUGGGCCCAUUUAAUAAAGAAAUAAUCUAAUAAAUAAACUAUUAUAACAAAUAUUUAAAUAUAAUAGCAAGAGUUUAUUCCAUACUUUGCAGCUUAAUUACUUAAUAUAUUACCCAAAUUGUUUUAAAUAAAAAGUAAUAUCAUAUAAUUAUUAUACUAAAUUAUCACAUUGUUCGACCAAUAUUCAGUUAUUUAAAAAUUAUUAAAGACUUUCAUAUAUUAAUGAAAAUAUAUCAAUAAUAAAGUUACAUCUUGACAGCUAAUAUAAAUAAAUAUAUGAUAAUUAUGAAAUAAUUUAAGAUUUUCUCAAUUAAUAUUAUCUUAUAACUACAAUUUAUUUACAUAAUUAAAUUUUUUAAAGAAAUUAUUAAAAUAUCUUCGUACCUAUAUGCAUUUAUAAUAAUAUAUAAUACAUCAUAAUAUAAUAGCUAAAUAGAUAAAUUAUUUAAUGAUAUAAAAUAUAUAUUUAUAUUCAUUGUAUUAUAGUAUUUUUUCAUAAUAGUUUCAUUAAAUAAUUCUCUACUCUCUCUCUCUCUUUUUGUCUUCAUUUUUUCAGACAAGCAACUAAACACCUUUUCACCUUUUUUAUUUUAUUUUCAAGUACUGUUAUUAAAAUAAGCUACCAAACAUGUUUUUAUUUUUAACAAAAAAUAAUCAUUCUUAUUUCAUAAAACAAAUUCAAAAACACCAUUUAAAUUUUGAAAAUGCACCCUUAAGUGUUUUAUUUUAGGGUUAUUUUUAGAAACCUCCCCUGAGGUUUGAUAUAAUUUGAGUUAAAUGGCGAGAUUGAUUCUAUUCUCACUUACCUCCCCUACUGUUAGUAUACGUACGACUUGACAGUUAGUUGACUUGAGAAAUAACUGAAAUAUCCAAACCAAUUAUUCAACCCAAAAUUUUGGUGCCAACAAAGUAAGAGUACGACAAAAAUAGCUUGCCAAACAUAUACCUUCUCUUCUCUCCAAAUUCAACCUAGGUCUUGAGUUUUCCAACUACAAGAGACGGCGGUUGGUCGGGCGUUUGACAACAAGUUGAUCUCUGGCAGCACGUGGCUCUACUUCCACCAUUUUGGCCGCAAUAUAUCACGUUAGUUUUCGGUAAUUUUGGCAAGCCUUAUAUUGUAAAUUUUUUUGUUUUUCGUUUGCCUAAAUUGAUUGAUGACAAAUGAGUGUAUAAAUUAUUAUAGAUGAUCAUUAGGAUUGAUUAGUGCGUAAAUAUUAAAAAUGGUUUAAUGAAAUCGGUAGUUACUAAAUGGUACAUGAGGUGAUCGACAAAAUGCCUCUUAGGGUUUGUUUGUCUUGUUUUAGGUAGAUUAAGGUGUUGAUGGUGCAUUCAUGCGAAGUCUUGUUUUGUAAGCUCAUUAUUUAGCACGAAAAUUUUGCAACAACUAGUUUAAUAGGGUAUUUUGUAUUUCUGCAGAAUCGCGCGCGCGAUAGGGCCUAUCGCGAUAGGUAGAGCUGGCAAAACGGGUCAUCGGGUCGUGUUUGUGUCGUGUCAGCUUCGUGUCGUGUCAAAUUUAGGUCGACCCAAACCCGACCCAUUUAAUAAUCGUGUCAAAAUAUUGAGACCCAAACCCGACACGGAAAAAUAAUCGGGUUACCCAAUAACCCGUUUAAUAUCUAUAUAUUGAAUAAAAAUUACAUCAAAUAUUUACACACUAUCAUACAUACAUAUGUACAUAAAUACAUACAUACAUACAUACAUACAUUUAUCGAUAUUAUAAAAUAUACAUAUCUACCAAUAUAUUACAUAUUUACACUAUUGAGGUUUUAAUUUUAUAUAUAUAUAUAUAUAUAUAUAUUAUUUAUCAAUAUUAUAAAAUAUACAUGUCUAUUAAUUUUUACACAUUUACACUAUUGAACCUCUAAAUGUAUGUAAAAUUUUAUAAAUAAAAUACUGUGUUUAUAUUCACCCUUUUAAAGAAUAAAAAAAAAAUCAUCUCUAAUAUUUGAGUUUUAAUUAUAAGAAUAUGUAAAUUAUUUUAAAAUAGAAAAUAUAAUCGGGUCAUUGAUCGGGUAAAUGGGUCAAGAAUUUUAACCCAAACCCGACACGGAAAAAAAUCGUGUUGACCCGGACCCGACCCAUUUAAUAAUCGUGUUAAAUUUGACGACCCAUACCCAUUUAUUUAUGUCGUGUUCGUGUCGGGUAAUCGGGUCGUGCCAAAUUUUGCCAGCUCUAGCGAUAGGUGUAUGUGAUUUAGAGCAACGGACACUGUCUCCUGGGCGACAGGUGCUUGUCUCCCGGGCGACAGGUGUCUGUCUCCCCAAAUUACAGAAAGCUUGUUUCUGUAAUUUCGAAUGCUUGUCUCCUGGGAGACAGUGGAUGUCUCCCCAAAUUACAUAAAGCUUGUUUAACUAACGCAUGAAAUAAAAAACCACUAAAAACUCAGCAACAGACUAUACUAAUCUCCAAAAUACGUUAAGGGAUUCCAUCACCACCAAACCACCAAUAUUUUACUUAUUUAAAGAAAUAAGUAAAUUCCAAACCAUCAAGUUGCAUGUCACCAAAUCAGCAACACAAAUAACAAAUAACAAACAUUUAAAUUUGUAUCGAGAGGAAAAAAAAUAUUAGUAUGAGUUAAUUGAAUUGGAAAAUAACACUAAGUAGAAUGUUACCAUAAUUUAAAUUACAGUCACAUGUGCAUUUUCGUAGCUUACAGUUGGUGACAAUCACAAAUUGACUGAAUUUCAUCAGCCUAUACAUCCAACAGUCGCCCAUAUACACAAAAAUAACAAAAAUAACAACUACACUAACAAUGUGCAAUGAUAGUUGAGGUAUACUUUAUACAUGACAUUGCCACUAUAAUGUGAGUUUGUUAGAAUCACAUUUAUACAAAAUAUACAAAAACUCAAUCUUGUGCCUAUGACUGAGUACAAAAAGAUGAUACGACAUCUUAAUUUGCUGGGAUCCUCUCAAGAGAUUCUUUUAUUGCCGUCACCUGCUCAAUGUGAACCUUAUCAUUCAAAUCAGGGAGAGCAAACUCAUUCUCGUCUGCUAAGUCAAACCAGUCCUUUUCUACUGCAAGUUCCAGUGGAACAGAAGACGAUUCAACUGGCCUUUUGCCCCCUAUCAUAUGAGAAUAUGCAUACAUUAAUAAGUGAAAAUAAAGUAAUAAUUAAGAAUAAUAAUAAUAAUAAUGACAUUACUAAACAACAACAAUAAUUGCAAUAAUAAAAAAAAAUAAUGAUAAUAGUAAUAUAUUUUAAUAAAGAUAUUAAUAAUAAUUGUAAUAAUAAUAAUGUAUAUAUAUGUUUUAAUUACAUAUAUAAGUGAAUGUGUGUGUGUGUUUAAUAUUUUUUAUUUUGAAUUAAUAUUAAGCACAAACUGUGUUUUUCGUGUGACAUGCCUAUUGCACGGGCGACAAAAUACUGUAGCACGGGAGACAGAACCUAUCGCCCAAACACACAAAAUGUGUGUGCAUGUAACAAGAGUAUGUUGCAGCCCAAAACACAAAAAUAGUGUUUUUGGGCGAUAGGGGUUGUCGUCUGCGUGACAAGAUUCUGUCGCUAAAAAACACAGAAACUGAAUUUGGGCGACAUAAACCCGUCGUACAGGCGACAACCCCAAAAACACAAAAAUUGUGUUCGUAUGACGUGAGUCUGUAGCACGGGGGACAUGCCUUGUCGCUCAAAAAUGCAGGAAUUGUGUUUGUGCGAGAGGUGUACAAAAACACUGCAAAUUCAUUAACAAAUCAACUUUAGCAAACUUUGGCCAGAAAAAUAAAAAUUACAACUAAGAUCUACUUCUAUUUUACAUACCCAUUUGCAUAAUAAUAAUAAAUUAUUGGCUUUAUAUGCCUUAUUACACUAUGUAUGGUGUAAAUCACAAACAUAAAAUAAUCAAUAACAAUUGUUUUCAACUCAUGACCACAUAUGACUGAAUCCAUUUUUCUUUUAAUUAAUUUUUUCACCACCAACCUAUGAACAAGACAAAUCAAACAUAACCAGCAACUACUUAUAAAAUCUCCAAAAAAAAGAAAAUCAAAGAUAUUUAAAAAUUUUAGACUUUAAUAAAAUAACUAACCUCUUACAAACUCCAAUACCAGUGGCAUAUCUCGGCCGCCGUCGAUCGUCAUCGGUCGGUGACUUUGUCCGACCACCUAUAUUUGUCUUCUUUAUGGGUUAUAUAUGCUCUUUAUGUUUAUUUCCUUUUGUUCCAGCAACUGAGAAUAUGUGAGUGGAGUGAAAAAUGCUUUGAUUGUUAAUGUGAGAGAAAAAAAAUCUCAUUUGCUUUUUUGUACUUAAGAAAGGAAAAUUCACUCUUUUACACAAUGGAUAUUGUGUAUAAUCGGAUAAUACAAUUAUCCAAUAGAUUUCAAAAUAUUUUUUUUUUAUUGUUACUUGAUUUUUUUAGAUUUUCAGCGUGUCUUUUAUAUUUUUGCUAUCAAAUACUAACGUUAUACGUGUAUGUAUACUAACGAUAGAGAAGGUAAAUGAGAAUACAAUUAAUAUCGCCGUCUAAUUGAAAUUAUAUCAAAUCUCAGAGGAGGUUUCUAAAAAUAGCCCUUUUAUUUUACUGCCCGUGCCACAUCAUGCUUAGUACCCACGGCCGUUGCAGCCGGAGGUGCCCGGCAGCCACAUGACUGGUGGCAUUAUCUACUCGCCGUUGAAGUCAACAUCAGAUUCUUUUUUUGUCUUUUAAUUAAAAAUCACAGCCGACACAUACUGUUGGAUGAGGCGGAGCAUAAUAUCAUCGCCUCUCUUGUUGGAUGAGGCGGGAAAAAAAUGGCGCGGCUCUAUGCCACCAACUCUUUCCUCAUUGGAGCUAAUAACAUCCAACUCAUUCAGUUUUUAAAUAUUUACGAAUAAAGGAAGAGAGUUUGUUCACUUAUAUCAUAUAGGUCCAGAACCGUACUCUCUCCUUCAUGAGAAUUGCAUAACCAACAAUUAGCAUGUGGUUGGAAUUGAAUCCUAUAUUCAUUACAUCAUCAUCUCAAAUAAUUUGAUCAACUAAAUUAGUGGAUACCUAUAUACAUAUUAAAACACAUCUCGUAAUAAAACGAUCAAAUAACUUCACUAUAGUAAUUUUUUUACUAAUAUAAUGUAACGCUAAAAAUUAAGAGUAUGUAACUUAAAAUUUUAUUUGGUAGUUUCUAAAUUAGAGCUUCUAUAAGUAACGUUUUAGUAAUAACAAUUUACGUUAAUUUUUAACUUAAAAAAAAAGUUUAUAAAUACCUUAAUAGAAAAGUAAAGUAAAAUGUUAAACUAAGGAAAAUAUAGUUUUAGAGAAAUCAUAUUAAACGAGCACCUAAAUACCAAAGGGUACUCCGUUGUGGAUCGAAAUUGGGGUUUUAUUUUAUACAAAUAGAAUAACAAUGUAAUUAUGUGAGAAACCAUAAAAGAUACGGACCUAAGUGCUAUUACCCCUUUCCUAGCCGUCACACUCCAAUUCAGAUGCAGAGUUAUGCUAAUCAAGGCUUCAACGUAGUACACACAUUCUACAGACUCAACCAAAACUAAAAUUGAUUUAUUAUAAGAAAAAAAUUAAUGGCUUCAUCAAAAACAGUGAGAAAAUUACAGGUGGUAUCACCAGUACCAGCAGAUAUAGACAUUGCAAACUCAGUGGAGCCACUUCAUAUUUCUGAGAUUGCCCAAGAACUCAACCUCAAGCCAAACCAUUAUGAUCUUUAUGGCAAGUACAAAGCCAAGGUGAUUGCUUUUUAGCUUUUUAUUCAUAAAUUUAUUAUUAUUUUUCCUUAUUUGAGUAACUUAUAUCAGUUGGUCGAUUCAGCUUAAUGGUUAAAGACAUGAUUUUUGUGUUUUGAUUGGUUUGUUGUGAUGAGGGUAUGAUUCAAAAACUGCCAUGUUCAUUUUUAUUUUUAUUUUUUAUUUCAAACUUAAGGUGCUUAGUUUUGUUAACAUAACAAAUAUGGGUGCGUAAAGUUGAAUGCAUGUUGUGGAUUUUUGUAGGUGUUGCUAUCUGUUCUUGAUGAGCUUGAAGGAUCUGCAGAUGGGUAUUAUGUGGUGGUUGGAGAGAUUACUCGAACUCCUCUUGGAGAGGGAGAGAUUACUCAAUAUCCUCUUGGAGAGGGAAAGUCUACUACAACUGUUGGGCUGUGUCAAGCAUUCGGUGCUUUUCUUGAUAAAAAGGUAGAGCUUUCAAUAGUUACAAUUUUAAGGCAUUGAGGUUGUUUCUCUAUUUGCCAAUCCAUUUAGUCUAGUGUAAUAUUGAAGUUCCAGUUCUCACACUUAGUUGUACUUCUAUAUCUGUUCCAAACAAUGUACUUUGCAGUUGGAAAGGUUUUGUUAUAUAACUGUUAUUCUGUGUUAAAUAAAAACUAAAUCUGUAUGCUCAUGGAGCAUCUACUUAUUCAUUCCAUAAGAAACUGUUUUCUCUAAUGAUGUUUGAAGAUUCCUAAUCUCUUCCAUUGUAUUCUAAUCACAGCAUCCCUCUACUAGAUGUCUUGCAUUUCUUUUUUAACAUGUAUUUGGUAAUGCCGUAAGACCGUAAAGUUCUUCUGCAGAAAGGUGAAAAAUUGGGUAAAUUGUGAUUUCAAUUGGUCUGGAAGUUCUGUGUGUUAUGUCUGAUGACGACCAAUAUCAGAGGAGUUAAGAAAGUUGUGUUGAGAAAAACAAGUUUUUUGAUUUGGAAAACUCAAAAGUAAAAGAUUAUUCAAGUUGAAUGGGUCAGGGGAGGCAGUUGUAACUCUUUCUGAAGCUAGCUCUCUUUAUCUCUCUCUUGCCCAAAGCACCUUGCAAUCCUGAUGUUCUGCUAGCAACUUUUUUUAUUGAACAAAUUUUUGUGGGUUGUUCACUAUUUUGCCAAAAUGGUGAGAUCACUUCGUAUGUAUGUGUUCUGCCAAUUCAAUCUGUGUUAUCAGCUGUCCCUUUUAUGAGGGGAAUUGAACAGACAAAUUCAUGUGCUUCAAUGAGUAUGUUCAUGGGUCCUUUUAUUGUUGUAACAGCACAUGACUGUCGGUGUUCAUUAUGCCCUGCUGUUGAUAGUAGAGUAAACUAACUGAACAAAUUUUGUUCUUCUUCCCUAAGUACAAAUCUGAAUAACCAUUUUGUAAAUUUCAGACAUUAACAUACUUGAUCAUCUAACUGGGUUUCAUGAAAAUAGAUCAGAUUUGGUGGAAGAAACUGUUCACUUUUAUUACUAUAAGGCCUUCCAUAAAAAGACACAAGACCCUAAUUUUUAGACUAGAUAGUGCUCAACAAGUUUAGCACACGAUUCAGCUUUAAAGGAGUUACAUGAAUGAGCUGCUUGUCAAGUUCCUUAAAAUAGGGUAUUAAUGAUUAUUAAUCUUCAACAGUUAAGAUAGAGACUGCCUGUUAGAAAUGGCCGUAGCUUUUUUGUCCAUCUAAAUCUUAUAAAUCCAAACAAGUAUAUUUACUUUGAACUUUUUUUUUCUAUCUCAAAAUUUAUCUUUGUUUGUUUUGUCUGAAAACUAGCUUUUCAGCUCAAAAAUAAAAGGAAAAAAGGGAAUAAGUGACUAUCAUGGUUCUGGGUAAUUUUAAUAGCGGAUGAAGCUGUUUUUGUGGUCGUUUCCUCCUUCAACAUAGAAGAUUGGAAUAUUUAGAGUGAUUAUCACAGUGCAGAAAUUGGAAUGUGACUAGUUGCUUUGAAUUACUUUGACUGAGUAUUUGUUUAGGCGUUAUCCUUACCAACUUUAUUUGUUAGGUUGUUACAUGUCUUCGUCAACCCUCACAAGGACCAACCUUUGGAAUCAGAGGAGGUGCAGCUGGUGGCGGUUACAGUCAAGUGAUCCCAAUGGAUGAGUUCAAUCUUCAUUUAACAGGAGAUAUUCAUGCAAUUACAGCUGCAAACAAUCUUCUUGCUGCUGCCAUUGACGCCAGGAUAUUCCAUGAGGCGAGCCAAUCCGAUAAGGCUUUAUUUAACAGGUUAUGCCCACCAAACAAAGAAGGAGAACGGAGCUUUAGUAACAUCAUGUUUAGGCGUCUGAAGAAACUUGGUAUCUCCAAAACCAAGCCCGAGGAUCUUACGCCAGAAGAAAUUAACAGAUUUGCUAGGCUUGAUAUCGACCCAGCUUCUAUUACAUGGAGGAGAGUUAUGGAUGUGAAUGACCGAUUCUUGAGGAAAAUUACUAUUGGUCAAGGCCCCGAAGAAAAGGGAAUGGUGAGAGAAACAGGCUUUGACAUUUCAGUUGCUAGUGAGAUAAUGGCAGUUUUGGCCCUGACAACUUCUCUAGCUGAUAUGAGAGAGAGGCUUGGGAAAAUGGUGAUUGGAAAUAGCAAGGCAGGUGAUCCUAACUGCCGAUGAUCUUGGUGUUGGAGGUGCUUUGACUGUGCUAAUGAAGGAUGCAAUCAACCCCACUUUGAUGCAGACACUGGAAGGAACCCCUGUUCUUGUUCAUGCUGGUCCUUUUGCAAAUAUUGCUCACGGUAAUUCUUCUAUUGUGGCUGAUAAGAUUGCACUGAAAUUGGUUGGACCAGGUGGAUUUGUGGUCACUGAAGCAGGUUUUGGUGCUGAUAUUGGAGCUGAGAAGUUCAUGAAUAUUAAAUGCCGAUAUAGUGGUUUAACUCCUCAGUGUGCUGUUAUUGUGGCAACAGUAAGGGCCUUGAAAAUGCAUGGUGGUGGGCCACAAGUUGUUGCUGGGAAGCCUCUCGACCAUGCCUACUUGAAUGAGAACGUGGCUCUGGUUGAAGCUGGCUGUGUGAAUCUGGCCAGGCAUAUUGCAAACACAAAGGCAUAUGGUGUGAAUGUUGUAGUUGCUGUGAACAUGUUCGCAACUGAUAGCGAAGCAGAACUGAAUGCAGUUAGAAUUGCAGCAAUGGCUGCUGGGGCCUUUGAUGCAGUUGUUUGUUCUCACCAUGCCCAUGGUGGAAAAGGAGCGGUAAGUGACUUAUCACCAUUAGACCUAACAAACAAAAAGGAAAUAUUUCUCAAUUUUCACCUCUGCAAACUACAUAACUGUAAAUAAAUUAUCAUUAAUCUGCAUUGCCCAUAUUUGGUCUCUACACAGAAUUUCUCGAAGGCAAUUUGAGCAGGAUGAAUUGUUUAACAACUUUUACACACCGCCUUUCUGAUUCUGGAAAUUAUUGACACAUCCCGCCUAUAUCUGAGAAUUUCUCAUGUUCUGCAGUCUACCUUUGCUUCGACCACUAAGGACUUGUAUUAUGAGUUUCUCAGCAAACUAGGAAUAGAUAUUUUCAAUCCAAGUGUAAUCACAUAUUUUGAACCUGAAAGACUUGUGCCUUUUCUGUCUAUAGUAUGACUCCGAGAUAGGCUCCUUUCAGGGUGUACAUAUUAUAUGAUAAGACUAAACUGGGAGAAUUGGUUAUUGAUAUCUUUUGAUUAAAAGCUCUAUUGUUAUCAUGGUUUUCAGGUUGACCUUGGAAUUGCAGUUCAAAGAGCCUGUGAGAAUGUCACACAGCCACUGAAGUUCUUGUAUCCUUUAGAUGUCAGUAUUAAAGAGAAAAUAGAUGCAAUAGCAAGGUCAUAUGGUGCUAGCGGCGUUGAGUACUCAGACGAGGUAAAUGCUUCAAACAUUUUUCCAUUGAUUCUCCAUGGAUUGUCAAGUGCAUCAGUCUGACUAAUUCAAUCCUUUCAAAAUCUGACAAAAAGCACAAAGUUAAACCAAAUGUUAAAUGUUCCUUUGGGUUGGUGAAAGCAAAAUCUAGUUGUAAAAUGCGUGUUUUGUCUUUAUCUGUGGCGUUUCAAAUCUAUUUUCUUGCUGACGCCUAAAAAUAAUAGAGGUAGCACUUACCAUCUUGUUGCAGAAGCAACUCUUACAGAAAAAAGCGCAUAUAUAUAUGUGUGUGUGUAUUUUGAUGAGACCAUUAUGAUAACUUUUGGUCUCCUGCAGAAUUUUUGGGUUUUACUUUGUCUUGUUGAUUUUUGGAACUUGCUUAACUAUUCUAGGGCUUAGUUUACUAAUUUAAAUUAUUUCAAUCUGUGCAACUAGGCUGAGAAACAGAUCAAAAUGUACACCAGGCAAGGGUUUUCUGCCUUACCAAUUUGCAUGGCAAAAACCCAGUAUUCAUUUUCACACAAUGCCGCUGAAAAGGGAGCCCCAACUGGGUUUAUCUUACCGAUAAGGGAUGUAAGAGCUAGCAUUGGGGCUGGAUUCAUUUAUCCUUUGGUUGGAACAAU